Molecule: transfer-messenger RNA, 388 nt
Filed under: Anaerolineales
Lineage: Bacteria; Bacillati; Chloroflexota; Anaerolineae
Also listed under: 2 other names
Description: UBA12294 sp002418205 Standard tmRNA
Rfam family: transfer-messenger RNA
About the family: Bacterial tmRNA, also known as 10Sa RNA or SsrA, is named for its dual tRNA and mRNA-like properties. Its role is to liberate the mRNA from a stalled ribosome. To accomplish this part of the tmRNA is used as a reading frame that ends in a translation stop signal.
Source: RNAcentral
GGGGAUGACAGGCUUCGACGGGAGAGGCUGGUCCCGGAAUGCGAGCCGAGAGGCGCCGAACUCGUAAACUCAGCGCAAACAAUCAAGUGCCAACCGCACUUCCUACGCUGCCAUGCCCCUCGCCGCCUAGUGUGACGAGAUCAUGACAGUCGGUCUCCAUAGAUGAGGCCGCGUCCGCCGGCACCGCUCUCCGCCGGGUGACGGACCGGGCGAGACAAAGGUGGAGUGCCGCGCAUGACGCCGCUACAUGCGCGAAAGACCAGCGGCUGGUCGCAGGGAGUUCCUGUCGGACGAGACCCCUGCGAUGACGAACCUCGACCGACUACGCUCGUAGAUUUCCGAGGGUCGAAUCUUUCGGACCCGGGUUCAAUUCCCGGCAUCUCCACUA